UAACGAUCUUGUUAGAGAAAAAUGGAAAGCUCUGCUUCUAACGAUAGUAGAAAUGGAACACGAAGAAGUAAUCGCUUAAAAAUAUCAUCGAUGAUCAUCAAAAAUUCAACUAAAUAUACAUAUAUCGAAUUAUAGAGUUUCUUUUCAAUUCAUAAUAUCUAAAUUUAAUAGGACAAUCAUCCACCAUAGCAGGCCACCAUAAGUUCUUCUGGAAUAAUACAUGAUGCUAUUUUCAUAUCUAUAAAAUUAAAUAUUUUAACUAUAGAAUUAUGCCAAUAAGUUGUCUAACAAAGUGAAGGAUUUUAUAAUUUUUUAUUUAAUAAUAUCAUCAAUGUAUUUAUUUUGAGAAAUUUGUUUACC
Long non-coding RNA from Vespula vulgaris, 360 nucleotides. RefSeq lists it as uncharacterized. Lineage: Eukaryota; Metazoa; Arthropoda; Insecta; Hymenoptera; Vespidae. The transcript is spliced from 3 exons. The record is from RefSeq and is a predicted model, not a curated record.